GACGAACGCUGGCGGCGUGCUUAACACAUGCAAGUCGAACGGAAAGGCCCUGCUUUUGUGGGAUGCGCGAGUGGCGAACGGGUGAGUAACACAUGAGUAACCUGCCCUUUACUUUGGGAUAACUUCAGUAAACUGGGGCGAAUAUCGGAUAUGAGCUCCUGCUGCAUGGUGGGUGUGGGAAAGUGUCGGCGGUUGGGGGUGGACUCGCGGCUUAUCAGCUUGUUGGUGGGGUAGUGGCUUACCACGGCUUUGACGGGUAGCCGGCCUGAGAGGGUGACCGGGCACAUUGGGCCUGAGAUAGGGCCAAGACUGAUACGGGAGGCAGCAGUGGGGAAUAUUGCACAAUGGGCGGAAGCCUGAUGCAGCAACGCCGCGUGCGGGAUGACGGCCUUCGGGUUGUAACGCGCUUUCGACUGUGACGAAGAGUGAGUGACGGUAACGGGUCAAGAAGCACCGGCUAACUACGUG
This 468-nucleotide ribosomal RNA is filed under the name uncultured bacterium. RNAcentral describes it as "partial 16S ribosomal RNA". It matches the Rfam family "Bacterial small subunit ribosomal RNA", at positions 28 to 507 of the family's 1533-position model. The record is from RNAcentral.